UACGUAGGGUGCGAGCGUUGUCCGGAAUUACUGGGCGUAAAGAGCUCGUAGGUGGUUUGUCGCGUUGUCCGUGAAAACUCACAGCUUAACUGUGGGCGUGCGGGCGAUACGGGCAGACUGGAGUACUGCAGGGGAGACUGGAAUUCCUGGUGUAGCGGUGAAAUGCGCAGAUAUCAGGAAGAACACCAAUGGCGAAGGCAGCUCUCUGGGACGGUACUGACGCUGAGGCGCGAAAGCCAGGGGAGCAAACGGG
Molecule: ribosomal RNA, 253 nt
Filed under: uncultured bacterium
Lineage: Bacteria
Description: partial 16S ribosomal RNA
Rfam family: Bacterial small subunit ribosomal RNA
Source: RNAcentral